UACGUAGGUGGCAAGCGUUGUCCGGAUUUACUGGGCGUAAAGAGCGCGCAGGCGGUCGUUCAAGUCGCGUGUGAAAGCCCCCGGCUCAACUGGGGAGGGUCACGCGAUACUGAUCGACUCGAAGGCAGGAGAGGGUAGUGGAAUUCCCGGUGUAGUGGUGAAAUGCGUAGAUAUCAGGAGGAACACCGAUGGCGAAGGCAGCUCGCUGGGACGGUACUGACGCUGAGGCGCGAAAGCGUGGGGAGCAAACAGG
Molecule: ribosomal RNA, 253 nt
Filed under: uncultured bacterium
Lineage: Bacteria
Description: partial 16S ribosomal RNA
Rfam family: Bacterial small subunit ribosomal RNA
Source: RNAcentral